ACUUUUUUUAUAUUUAUUAUUUUUUUCUUUAUGCUGUCAAUUUUUGCAAUGUUUUUUUGUUUUUCAAUUUAAGCCAAAAUUUAUGAAUAUGGUGUGAUUAUAUGGAAAAGUUUAAAAAUGUGUAUGAGAAGCAAAAAACGUUAAAUAUGAAAUUUUCGUGUUUCUGCCUGGGGUGAAGUCGUUAAAAAUUCAUUUCUUAGCCAAUUUUCAACCGAUUUUCUUGAAAAAUUUCAAGUACAUGCCUAAAAUCAAAUUGGAAAGGAUAAUAAUUGAAAAUUGACGACGCAAGAAUGAUUGCAAUGAGAGCACCGUGAAAUAUUAUCUUCCCUCAAAACGAAAAAAAAAAAAACGACUCGCCAUUGAGACUAUAGAGAGGUCCAAACGUAUUGAAAGAGGAAAGGAAAAAUUUAACUUCAUGAGUACAUUAACAAUAACCUGCAUGAAUACCAGUUCACGGCAGGUAUUUGAAAAAAUAUUUUCUGCAAGCUUCUGACGGCGAAUCGCGCUCUUAGCCAUAAAGUCCCAAAAGGUUCCAAGCUCAACAGAGGAGUUCAAAGCAACAGGCUAUGAGUUGGUAAGGAAUAUGAACCUAAUCCUCUCCAAUAUAAAGUCUGGUUUCUGUUUUAAAAAUAAAAAAAAAAUUAUUGAAUCAACAAAAAAAAUUAAAAUUUGGAACUGGAAAUGAUUCAAGGGUUGGAGUUAUUAAUCCCUUUGGCGUAGCAGGGAACUAAUUCCACUUAGAGAGUUUGAGUUAGUUCUCGCUCCGUGGGAACGAAAUAAUUUUUAGUAAACUGGAUUUAGUUCCUAUGCUAGAAGGAAUACCGGCGAUUUUAGAUUUCCAUUUUACAGAAGAGCUGCAACACAAAAUGACACUUACUAUAUUGUAACGAUGAAUUACCGAACUACUUUUAAGAUAAAAGUCUGAACACACUACCUGCUACAGUAAAGGUAGAAAUGUGAACGGACCUUUAGUAAUUAAGAAACUACCCUCUGAACGCAUCCAAAGAAAUUCCCUCGACUGCUGAAUAUCCCAAAAUAUCCCACUGGACUGGAAGUAUGAAGCGCCCCCUCUUGGAAAGGAAGCUUCGAGAAGCAAAGACGAGAACCUUCGAAGACA
Molecule: long non-coding RNA, 1117 nt
Organism: Episyrphus balteatus (marmalade hoverfly)
Lineage: Eukaryota; Metazoa; Arthropoda; Insecta; Diptera; Syrphidae
Exons: 3
Source: RefSeq, a predicted model, not a curated record